GGGCCGAUAGCUCAGCGGUAGAGCACGUCAUUUGCAAUGACGGGGUCGCCGGUUCAAAUCCGGCUCGGUCCA
RNAcentral lists this transfer RNA (72 nucleotides) under candidate division WWE3 bacterium CSP1-7. Its description in RNAcentral is "tRNA-Ala". It matches the Rfam family "tRNA". From Rfam's summary of the family: Transfer RNA (tRNA) molecules are approximately 80 nucleotides in length. Their secondary structure includes four short double-helical elements and three loops (D, anti-codon, and T loops). Further hydrogen bonds mediate the characteristic L-shaped molecular structure. tRNAs have two regions of fundamental functional importance: the anti-codon, which is responsible for specific mRNA codon recognition, and the 3' end, to which the tRNAs corresponding amino acid is attached (by aminoacyl-tRNA synthetases). tRNAs cope with the degeneracy of the genetic code in two manners: having more than one tRNA (with a specific anti-codon) for a particular amino acid; and 'wobble' base-pairing, i.e. permitting non-standard base-pairing at the 3rd anti-codon position. Lineage: Bacteria; candidate division WWE3. The record is from RNAcentral.